AUUGAACGCUGGCGGCAUGCUUUACACAUGCAAGUCGAACGGCAGCACGGGUGCUUGCACCUGGUGGCGAGUGGCGGACGGGUGAGUAAUACAUCGGAACGUGUCCAGAAGAGGGGGAUAACGCAUCGAAAGAUGUGCUAAUACCGCAUAUGCUCUGAGGAGGAAAGUAGGGGAUCGAAAGACCUUACGCUUUUGGAGCGGCCGAUGUCUGAUUAGCUAGUUGGUGGGGUAAGGGCCUACCAAGGCGACGAUCAGUAGUUGGUCUGAGAGGACGACCAGCCACACUGGGACUGAGACACGGCCCAGACUCCUACGGGAGGCAGCAGUGGGGAAUUUUGGACAAUGGGCGCAAGCCUGAUCCAGCAAUGCCGCGUGAGUGAAGAAGGCCUGGUUGUAAG
RNAcentral lists this ribosomal RNA (398 nucleotides) under uncultured bacterium. RNAcentral describes it as "bacterial SSU rRNA". It matches the Rfam family "Bacterial small subunit ribosomal RNA", at positions 30 to 429 of the family's 1533-position model. The record is from RNAcentral.